RNAcentral lists this ribosomal RNA (499 nucleotides) under uncultured bacterium. RNAcentral's name for it is "partial 16S ribosomal RNA". It matches the Rfam family "Bacterial small subunit ribosomal RNA", at positions 28 to 507 of the family's 1533-position model. The record is from RNAcentral.
GACGAACGCUGGCGGCGUGCCUAAUACAUGCAAGUCGAGCGAAGAUUCUCUGGUGCUUGUACCGGAAAAAUUUCGCCGCGAACGGGUGUGUAACAUGUAUAAAACAUGUAUAAUAGUCUGGGAACAUUAUUGGAAACGAGCGAUAAUACCGGAUAAUAGUAUACACUACAUGUUUGAUGUUUAAAAGUUGGUUUUGCUAACAUUAUGAGAUGGCUUUGCGGUGUAUUAGCUAGUUGGUGGGGUAAAGGCCUACCAAGGCAACGAUGCAUAGCCGACCUGAGAGGGUGAUCGGCCACACUGGCACUGAGACACGGCCCAGACUCCUACGGGAGGCAGCAGUAGGGAAUCUUCCGCAAUGGGCGAAAGCCUGACGGAGCAACGCCGCGUGAGUGAAGAAGGUCUUCGGAUCGUAAAACUCUGUUAUUAGGGAAGAAUAAUUGUGUAAGAACCUAUGACCGUAUUGACGGUACCUAACCAGAAAGCCACGGCUAACUACGUG